GAAACUCAAAUGAAGUUGACGGGACCGCACAAGCAGCGGAGCGUGUGGUUUAAUUCGUUGCUACACGAAGAACCUUACCUGGGUUUGACAUAUAGGUUGUAGGGAACUGAAAAGGGACCGACCUUCGGGAGCCUAUACAGGUGUUGCAUGGGCUGUCGUCAGCUCGUGUCGUGAGAUGUUCGGUUAAGUCCGCUAACGAGCGCAACCCUCGUCGUAUGUUAUAUGUGUCAUACGAGACUGCCGGUAAAAGCCGGAGGAAGGUGAGGAUGAUGUCAAGUCAGCAUGACCUUUAUAUCCAGGGCUACACACACGCUACAAUGGUCUGUACAAUGGGUAGCCAAGCCGCGAGGCGGAGCCAAUCCUGAAAGCAGGCCUCAGUUCAGAUUGCAGUCUGCAACUCGACUGCAUGAAGCCGGAGUUGCUAGUAACCGCAGGUCAGCAAUACUGCGGUGAAUACGUUCCCGGGUCUU
RNAcentral lists this ribosomal RNA (470 nucleotides) under uncultured Anaerolineaceae bacterium. RNAcentral describes it as "bacterial SSU rRNA". It matches the Rfam family "Bacterial small subunit ribosomal RNA", at positions 896 to 1382 of the family's 1533-position model. Lineage: Bacteria; Bacillati; Chloroflexota; Anaerolineae; Anaerolineales; Anaerolineaceae. The record is from RNAcentral.